This 280-nucleotide ribosomal RNA is filed under the name uncultured bacterium. RNAcentral describes it as "partial 16S ribosomal RNA". It matches the Rfam family "Bacterial small subunit ribosomal RNA", at positions 506 to 784 of the family's 1533-position model. The record is from RNAcentral.
UGCCAGCAGUCGCGGUAACACGUAGGGGGCAAGCGUUGUCCGGAAUUAUUGGGCGUAAAGAGCUCGUAGGCGGUUUGGUAAGUCAGAUGUGAAAACUCAGGGCUCAACCCUGAGAGGCCAUCUGAUACUGCCAUGACUAGAGUCCGGUAGAGGAGUGUGGAAUUUCUGGUGUAGCGGUGAAAUGCGCAGAUAUCAGAAGGAACACCAACGGCGAAGGCAGCACUCUGGGCCGGUACUGACGCUGAGGAGCGAAAGCGUGGGGAGCAAACAGGAUUAGAUA